CGCCGGGGUUCGGGUCCCGGGUCCCGGGUCCGGUGUUCUCUCCGGAGCUGGGGCUGGAGUGGAGAGCGCGAGCUGCAGAUCAAGAGAAAUUUAUAGGAAAAUGGAAAAGCAGAAAUUCUGAUGUUUUGCUUUUGAUUUUGCCAAGUUAAGUCAAUUCCAGGAGUCCUCUUUUCAGAAAGAUAAAUAAAUGCUGAAGACUUAUUUCCAACCAAUACAUGGAUGGCUGCCAAUGAGAAAAGCAAGCAGCAGAAAGUAACAGCAAAGUAACUUGGCACUGGAUAAACCAGAAAGAGAAAAACCAAGAUCUCUUAGGAAGUUUGGGCACACAGACCUGAAGAGCAGAUGUGCUUUAGUGGGACAGGUAGAGGGAAGCAGCAGAAUGUGAGGAGGCUGCAGACCAUGCCAAGGUGGAGGAGGAGAUGCUGCAGAGUCCCCAGGGCUGACAGAGACUUGCCAUGUGACACAAUCUCUCCAUUCCAGAACUCUGAGGCUAGUGAUACCUGCAGUUGGUCAGAGCUCAAACCUCUGAUGUCACUGCUUUGGAAGAUCCCAGAAAACCUGUGGAAACAUGUUUAUUCAGUGGAAGUGUGUUGACUCCAGCUGGUUCCUACCCUAGAGGAAUCACACAGAAUGGGUUUGGAAUUAGCUACAAUGGAAGACCACCUCAAAGCCUGUCCUGUUUGAACUCUCCUGCUUGGACCUCAGCUGCUGCAGCAAGGAAGCCUAAAUAAGGCUGAGUCUAGGAGCUCUGAAGCCUAUGGACGACAGCUCCAGCUGAGCUUCCAGUUGGCAUCUGACAACAGCUUUAAGCUUUGGGAGUAAGAUUAUUUGGAACUUCUUUCUUCUGCACCUCACCAAAUGGAGUUCUUUUCAAGAUAUAGUCCAUGAGUGAGGUUUGGAACUUUAAAAAAAAGAUUUUAUUGGGGAUCCCUGGGUGGCUCAGUGGUUUGGCACCUGUCUUCAGCCCAGGGCAUGAUCCUGUAGUCCUGGGAUCAAGUCCUGAGUCGGGCUCCUUGCAUGGAUCCUGCUUCUCCCUCUGCCUCUC
Molecule: long non-coding RNA, 1045 nt
Organism: Nyctereutes procyonoides (raccoon dog)
Lineage: Eukaryota; Metazoa; Chordata; Mammalia; Carnivora; Canidae
Exons: 6
Source: RefSeq, a predicted model, not a curated record